GAUUAUGGCUCAGUGGUAGAGUGCUUGCCUUGCAUGUGAAAGACCCUGGGUUAAAUCCUCAGCAAUCA
Molecule: transfer RNA, 68 nt
Filed under: Marmota marmota marmota (Alpine marmot)
Lineage: Eukaryota; Metazoa; Chordata; Mammalia; Rodentia; Sciuridae
Also listed under: 1 other name
Rfam family: tRNA
About the family: Transfer RNA (tRNA) molecules are approximately 80 nucleotides in length.
Source: Rfam by way of RNAcentral